This 349-nucleotide ribosomal RNA is filed under the name uncultured bacterium. RNAcentral's name for it is "bacterial SSU rRNA". It matches the Rfam family "Bacterial small subunit ribosomal RNA", at positions 917 to 1267 of the family's 1533-position model. The record is from RNAcentral.
GGGCCCGCACAAGCGGUGGAGCAUGUGGUUUAAUUCGAUGAUACGCGAGGAACCUUACCAGGACUUAAAUGUAAGUUGCAUGAUUCAGAAAUGAAUCUUUCUUCGGACUACUUACAAGGUGCUGCAUGGUUGUCGUCAGCUCGUGCCGUGAGGUGUCAGGUUAAGUCCUAUAACGAGCGCAACCCCUAUCGUUAGUUGCCAUCAAGUAAAGUUGGGAACUCUAGCGAAACUGCCGGUGCAAACCGAGAGGAAGGUGGGGAUGACGUCAAAUCAUCACGGCCCUUACGUUCUGGGGCUACACACGUGCUACAAUGGUCGGUACAGAAAGCAGCCACUAUGCGAAUAGGAG